This 225-nucleotide small nuclear RNA is filed under the name Marchantia polymorpha subsp. ruderalis. RNAcentral's name for it is "U2 spliceosomal RNA". It matches the Rfam family "U2 spliceosomal RNA". From Rfam's summary of the family: U2 is a small nuclear RNA (snRNA) component of the spliceosome (involved in pre-mRNA splicing). Complementary binding between U2 snRNA (in an area lying towards the 5' end but 3' to hairpin I) and the branchpoint sequence (BPS) of the intron results the bulging out of an unpaired adenosine, on the BPS, which initiates a nucleophilic attack at the intronic 5' splice site, thus starting the first of two transesterification reactions that mediate splicing. The record is from Rfam by way of RNAcentral. Lineage: Eukaryota; Viridiplantae; Streptophyta; Marchantiopsida; Marchantiales; Marchantiaceae.
AUACCUUUCUCGGCCUUUUGGCUAAGAUCAAGUGUAGUAUCUGUUCUUAUUAGUUUAAUAUCUGAUAUUGUUCUUAUUAGUUUAAUAUCUGAUAUGAGGGUCAUCGACCCUCACGAUAUUAAUCUUAUUUCUUUCACGGGUGCGAGUCCAAUGGAGUAGCUAGGUGCCUCGGGCUCGCCAGUGCCGUCUUGGUAUUGCACUACCUCCUUGGCCGGCGCAGCCCAU